GACGAACGCUGGCGGCGUGCUUAACACAUGCAAGUCGAACGGAAAGGCCCUGCUUUUGUGGGGUGCUCGAGUGGCGAACGGGUGAGUAACACGUGAGUAACCUGCCCUUGACUUUGGGAUAACUUCAGGAAACUGGGGCUAAUACCGGAUAGGAUCUCCUGCUGCAUGGUGUGGGUUGGAAAGUUUCGGCGGUUGGGGAUGGACUCGCGGCUUAUCAGCUUGUUGGUGGGGUAGUGGCUUACCAAGGCUUUGACGGAUAGCCGGCCUGGGAGGGUGACCGGCGACAAUGGGACUGAGAUACGGCGCAGAAUCCUACGGGAGGCAGCAGUGGGGAAUAUGGCACAAUGGGCGGAAGCCUGAUGCAGCAACGCCGCGUGCGGGAUGACGGCCUUCGGGUUGUAAACCGCUUUCGCCUGUGACGAAGCGUGAGUGACGGUAAUGGGUAAAGAAGCACCGGCUAACUACGUG
This 468-nucleotide ribosomal RNA is filed under the name uncultured bacterium. RNAcentral's name for it is "partial 16S ribosomal RNA". It matches the Rfam family "Bacterial small subunit ribosomal RNA", at positions 28 to 507 of the family's 1533-position model. The record is from RNAcentral.